UCUAUUUCCACUCAAAAGACUACUAUUAUUUUUCAGGUGAAGUUCUUUUGGAUGGGGAAAACAUAAAAAAAUUGAAAGUAGAAUGGUUAAGAAGCCAAAUUCGUCUGGUGACACAAGAACCAGCCUUAUUGAGUUUGAGCAUUUAGGAAAAUAUUGCUUAUGGAAGAUCUGCUACCUUUGAUCAGAUAGAAGAGGCAGCAAAAACAGCCCAUGCCCAUGGGUUCAUCAGUUCACUUGAAAAGGGGGACGAAACCCAGGUUGGUCGAGCUGGUCUAACACUCACUGAUGAACAUAAAAUCAAAAUUUCUAUUGCUCGUGCUGUGCUUUCGAAUCCAUCCAUUAUUUUGCUUGAUGAGGUCACCGGAGGACUUGAUUUUGAAGCUGAGAAGGCUGUACAAGAAGCAUUAGAUGUUCUGAUGUUGGGAAGGUCAACCAUUAUAAUUGCUAGACGUCUUUGCCUCAUUAAAAAUGCUGAUUAUAUAGCUGUAAUGGAGGAGGGCCAUCUUGUUGAAAUGGG
Long non-coding RNA from Zea mays, 517 nucleotides. RefSeq lists it as uncharacterized. The transcript has 2 exons. Lineage: Eukaryota; Viridiplantae; Streptophyta; Magnoliopsida; Poales; Poaceae. The record is from RefSeq and is a predicted model, not a curated record.